CGGUGUUGAUCUGGUCUGGGCUGAUGAAGUGAAUGUGCGUGUCAAUCCCGCCGGCCGUGAGGAUUUUGCCCUCACCGGCAAUGACGUCGGUGGCCACGCCGAUGGGGAUGGUCACACCGUCCAUGGUUUUCGGAUUGCCGGCCUUGCCGAUGCGGUAAAUAUGCGCAUCACGAAUAGCCAGGUCAGCCUUGUAAAUUCCGGUGUAAUCAAUGAUCAGUACAUUGGUGAUCACUACAUCCGGCACGUCCUCGUGCCUUUGCCGUUCGCCGUCCUGGCCCAUGCCGGCUCG
Small RNA from Corynebacterium durum F0235, 289 nucleotides. It matches the Rfam family "5' ureB small RNA". The record is from Rfam. Lineage: Bacteria; Bacillati; Actinomycetota; Actinomycetes; Mycobacteriales; Corynebacteriaceae.